UAAAAGUUUGAUUCUUUCUUUAGUUUCCACGGUUAUUGUUGCAAUUGUAUGAAAAUAUUGGUGUGUAUAUUUUUGGUUUUAGACAUAUAAUAAUUUGAGUAGAUUUAUAAUCUGUGAUAAUUAAAUUCUCAGCAUAUAAUAUUAAAUAAUGUACUAAAGUAUGAUUUAGUAAUAAGUUAAGAUCUGGUGAAAGAUUGUGCCAGCAGUCGCGGUUAGACUUUAAGGUCAAGUGGAAAUUCGGUGACAGUUUAUAGUUAAAUGAAAGCUAAUAAGUGUUGUUUGUUAAAAUAAAAGGUGAAAUUUAAUUGUUUUUUGUAUACUAAUGAUGUUUGCUUAAAUUGAAGCUAAUAAUUUUUAGAUUUAAACUAGGAUUAGAUACCCUACUAUACUAAAAAGUAAAUGUUGAAUAACUGAUUAUUAAUAGUUAUAUUCUUUAAAUUUGAAGAAUUUGGCGGUAGUUUAGUCUUGUCAGAGGAACCUGUUUUUUAAACGAUAAACCACGUAAAAUCUUACUUGUCGUAGUUUUCAGUUUGUAUACCAUCAUUAACAGAUAAUUUUUAAAGAAAUAAUUAUUGUUAGUAAUAAAUUAGUAAAAUUAGAUCAAGGUGCAGCUUAUAGAUAAGUUAAAAUGGGUUACAAUAAGUUUUAUUUAUUUAUGGAUAAAAAAAUGAAUAUUUUUUUUUAAGGAGGAUUUGAUUGUAAUUGAAGUUUAAUAUGCUCAAAUGAUAUUAGCUCUAAAUUAUGUACAUAUUGCCCGUCGCUUUCAUUUAUAGAUGAAAUAAGUCGUAACAUAGUAGGUUUAUUGGAAAAUGAACCUAGUUUGAA
RNAcentral lists this non-coding RNA (825 nucleotides) under Myomenippe fornasinii. The record is from RNAcentral. Lineage: Eukaryota; Metazoa; Arthropoda; Malacostraca; Decapoda; Menippidae.